This is a long non-coding RNA of Quercus robur (English oak), 2293 nucleotides long. RefSeq lists it as uncharacterized. NCBI's taxonomy places the organism in Eukaryota, Viridiplantae, Streptophyta, Magnoliopsida, Fagales, Fagaceae. The transcript has 6 exons. The record is from RefSeq and is a predicted model, not a curated record.
GUUCUAUCCAAACACACCCUUAGUGAGUUUCAAAUAGUGCAAGAAAAGUUUUUAUGAGUACUUGAUUAAGCUUUCUAAACCUUUGGUUGUUAUAAAACUAAUCUUUUUCUCAUGAUUUAUUAAUUACACUCAUCAUCUUUAUGAUCCUUUAACCACCUUUUUGUUAGUCUUAGGGUUCUUCAUCAAAACACCCAAAUAUCAACAUUUGUUCAAGUCAUUGGUUCACACACAAAGCUAUGGUAGUUAAUUCCAGCCAAGGGACUGAUCAAUCAACAUCAUUGCAUGUAUGCAUCAGUACGAUGCGUACUCGUCCAUGUCCAUGCGUACGACUAGGGUUUAUCUUCUGGUUUGUUUUCUGGGAAUCUGGCUCAAAGCCCAAAUGUGUAUGCAUUCUUCUUAUGGCGUAUGCCAAUUUCUUGUUUUCUUUUUCCUUUUUUUGCUUUAUUAGUAUUUAAUGACAUGUUUUAUUAUCUCUCCUUAUUUGUUUAAUCUGCUUUAAUUGCAUAUCUUUUGUCUUGUUUUGUUUCCUUUUGUAUCACAUGUAAUAAAACUAAAAAUACCAAAAAUAUUUGAAAUAGUCUAGUUAAUAUGCUUUCCUUUUUUAAAUAAAAUCCUCAUUAAUUUUUAAGGUUAAUCUAAAGUUUAUAAUCAUGGAAGGUAAUCAAGCAUUAAUUGGAAGAUAUUUCCUUAAAAGAUAAAAGUCUAAUCUAUAUAUAUAAUAAUAGGUGAAGCAGAGAGAAACUCAAAUUGCAAUUCCAAUUAUAACUCUAAUUUUGUGUCAUGUGUCUACAUCUAUGUGGCCAUCAAUUCAUAAUUAUCCUUCCAAUUGUUAGUCCAAUUUUACUAUACACGUGCACAAUCUAAUUAUUAUUAUUAUUAUUAUUUUGAGGUAAAAGAUAGAAGUGUUACUGAUAAGUCCAAACGUAUACCAUGUAUAUACCCUGUUCAAGCAGCCAGAAAACAGUGGUAUUUUUUUUUUUUAGGUAAAAGAUAGAAGUGUUAUUGAUAAGUCCAAAGGUAUACAAUGUAUAUAACCUGUUCAAGCAGCCCGAAAACAGUGGUUUUUUUUUUUUUUAGGUAAAAGAUAGAAGUGUUAUUGAUAAGUCCAAAGGUAUACAAUGUAUAUAACCUGUUCAAGCAGCCCGAAAACAGGGGUAUUUUUUUUUUUUUUUUUUUUUGAGGUAAAAGAUAGAAGUGUUAUUGAUAAGUCCAAACGUAUACAAUGUAUAUACCCUGUUCAAGCAGCCGGAAAACAGGGGAGAAAAUAGAAAUUAAUACAAGUUGAAAAAAAAAACUCCAAAUUCCUCAAAGACUCCCUAUACCCCGUGUGAUCCCACUCCACCCAAAGCUCCAAGUAGCCAUCCCUGUGCCUCAGGUCAAUAUGCAAGGUACUUGAUGAGGAUAGUUUCUCUGUUUCAUGGACUGAGAAACUAUGGUGGCAAUUUUUCUCUCAUCUAUAUCUCCUCUGCUCCUCUCUAAAACUCUAAAACACACAAAGGCUGAAACUAAUCACGUAUUAGAGGGCUUUAAUCUCUUUUCUCUCCUUUUUUUUUCAAUAUGCAAACAAGGUAUUUGAUGAGGAUAAUUCAAGCGUGAGAGAGAGUUCCAACGAUAGGCCGAUGAGAAAGAAGGAAGCAAUCAGAAGUAGAGAGAAAAAUGUUCAGUCCAUACACUCCGUGGAAGAGAAUUACCUCCACAGCUGCUUCACUCAUACUAGAGAGUUUUGUAGGCUUUAUUCAGUAUUGUUAGUGGAAGCAAUUGGACUUGCUCGGUGAUUUUGCUGAAGGAGCUUAUAGCAGAUGCACAUUGCAUCAACAGUCAACACAAGGAAAGGGACUCUAUAUUCUUGAGACUCUUUGAUGUUUGAAGUUUCUGAGCAAGGUUACAGCCUUUCAAAACAAGAUUCAAAAGGUAUUUACUCAACACUCAAAGAGAUUGCCCGCUGUGUCCACCACCAUCACAGCAACAUGGACACUUAAAGAAAUCUUGAAACGCCGGUCAAUGAGUCCUAUCGAGAGGUUUGAAGGUGCAGGUCUCGCCACUGAAUCGUGUUCCAUUACUUUGCAAAAACAACAAAAAAACAUUUGUGUACCAUUAUAUAUUAUAUAUUUGGUAGCUUUUCUUUUUAAAUGUUUGGUUGAGGUUGUUCUUACUUUUUUAAUACUUCUAUUACUUUUGAUGUUUUUUUUUUAUAUUAUAAAUUAUUACUUUUGUAAAUACUUAUUUCCUUUGAUUUAAGUUGUUCUUUAUGCGUGUACUUUGAACUUAUGUUUGGUAAAGUUGUUUUUUAGGC